RNAcentral lists this transfer RNA (72 nucleotides) under Camelus bactrianus (Bactrian camel). It matches the Rfam family "tRNA". From Rfam's summary of the family: Transfer RNA (tRNA) molecules are approximately 80 nucleotides in length. Their secondary structure includes four short double-helical elements and three loops (D, anti-codon, and T loops). The record is from Rfam by way of RNAcentral. Lineage: Eukaryota; Metazoa; Chordata; Mammalia; Artiodactyla; Camelidae. RNAcentral also lists the same sequence under 2 other names.
GGGUGGAUAGCUCAGUGGUAGAGUGCAUGCCUAGCAUGCAUGAGGUCCUGAGCUCAAUCCCCAGUACCUCCA